GCGGUUAAAAGUGUAGUUGUAGUGGUGAGGGAAAAGAGCGCCGUGCGUCGAUCCUAUCAGAGCCCCGAAUCUUGGAAUUCGAAUUUGUCCCCUUUAUCUGCGGAUUCCAUCGUAAUUGCUUAUCUACGAUGUGCUCGUUCUCUCUCUCUCUCCCUCCUUCCCUCCCUUUCUCUCUCUCUCUCUCACUCUCUCUCUUUUUCUUUCUCUUUCCCUCCUAUUCUUUUUAUUUCUUUUUCACUUUCUUGCAACGGGGAGAGCCAUAUCCGCCUACUUUAUGCGCCACGGUGGUAACCACACGAAACACGAUAAAAAAUAAAACGGAUAGCCGAUCAAAAAUAUUCGACGAACGAAAGACAUGCAAUUUGCAAUGAACAGAAUUGGAGUAUGGGCAAAGAAUACAUUAUUACCGAUUAUUAAUAAAUCAUUGAAGUUUCAUACUGAUCGAAAUUCAGAGAAAAUCUGUGUUCCCUUGAGAUCUUUUUUGAAUCAAUUGAAAUUGAAAAGUGAAGGCUGUUGGCUCGACGUACGUAUACAACGAAAUCCAAAGAAGAAUUAUUCGAUUCGGAGGCCGCAGAAAAAUUGCAAUUUCGGAGUACUUUGCAAUCGGCCAAUACCGAAAAUAACACGAACAAUGGCACCGGAAAUACCGAAGAAAACAUUACCGAUCGAAACGAACAAAAUACAUUUGAGAGUUUCAAAAAAGAAAAAAGACUCCGAAAGAAUGGGAAGAUCACGAAACGAAAAGUGACCUUUGCCGAUAGCAAAAGCGUGAAAGAGGACAAAUAUAAAAAAUAAUAUAUAACAAUAGUUUUAACAUUUUAUAUUUCGAUUAUCAGUGAAUUUCAAUUACGUACAUAU
This is a long non-coding RNA of Vespa mandarinia (Asian giant hornet), 858 nucleotides long. NCBI's taxonomy places the organism in Eukaryota, Metazoa, Arthropoda, Insecta, Hymenoptera, Vespidae. The record is from RefSeq and is a predicted model, not a curated record.